UACGAAGGGGGCUAGCGUUGCUCGGAAUCACUGGGCGUAAAGGGUGCGUAGGCGGAUCUUUAAGUCAGGGGUGAAAUCCUGGAGCUCAACUCCAGAACUGCCUUCGAUACUGGAGAGCUUGAGUCCGGGAGAGGUGAGUGGAACUGCGAGUGUAGAGGUGAAAUUCGUAGAUAUUCGCAAGAACACCAGUGGCGAAGGCGGCUCACUGGCCCGGUACUGACGCUGAGGUGCGAAAGCGUGGGGAGCAAACAGG
This 253-nucleotide ribosomal RNA is filed under the name uncultured bacterium. RNAcentral describes it as "partial 16S ribosomal RNA". It matches the Rfam family "Bacterial small subunit ribosomal RNA", at positions 524 to 776 of the family's 1533-position model. The record is from RNAcentral.